RNAcentral lists this ribosomal RNA (205 nucleotides) under uncultured bacterium. Its description in RNAcentral is "partial 16S ribosomal RNA". It matches the Rfam family "Bacterial small subunit ribosomal RNA", at positions 570 to 773 of the family's 1533-position model. The record is from RNAcentral.
CGUAGGCGGUCAGCACAAGUCAGUUGUGAAAUCUCCGGGCUUAACUCGGAAAGGUCAACUGAUACUGUGCGACUAGAGUGCAGAAGGGGCAACUGGAAUUCUCGGUGUAGCGGUGAAAUGCGUAGAUAUCGAGAGGAACACCUGCGGCGAAGGCGGGUUGCUGGGCUGACACUGACGCUGAUGCGCGAAAGCGAGGGGGCGGAAC